Molecule: ribosomal RNA, 253 nt
Filed under: uncultured bacterium
Lineage: Bacteria
Description: partial 16S ribosomal RNA
Rfam family: Bacterial small subunit ribosomal RNA
Source: RNAcentral
UACAGAGGGGGCAAGCGUUGUUCGGAAUUACUGGGCGUAAAGGGCGCGUAGGCGGUCUUGCAAGUCCCGUGUGAAAUCCCUCGGCUCAACUGAGGAACUGCACGGGAAACUGCUUGGCUUGAGUUCGGGAGAGGGAAGCGGAAUUCCGGGUGUAGCGGUGAAAUGCGUAGAUAUCCGGAGGAACACCGGUGGCGAAGGCGGCUUCCUGGACCGACACUGACGCUGAGGCGCGAAAGCUAGGGGAGCAAACGGG